This is a long non-coding RNA of Pongo pygmaeus (Bornean orangutan), 1106 nucleotides long. RefSeq lists it as uncharacterized. The transcript is spliced from 2 exons. Lineage: Eukaryota; Metazoa; Chordata; Mammalia; Primates; Hominidae. The record is from RefSeq and is a predicted model, not a curated record.
CUCUGGGGUGCAGCAGGGCACAGGCGUGGAAGAGCAGCCAUGGCAGAAGGGCAGGUUUCAGAGUGGACUCUUGGAACAGCGCCCUGUGCCCCUCCAGCCACCGUCCCGGAGGGCACCCAGUGACCCGGCUUUCGACGCCAUUCUGCCUUGAGGGAAGUGUCCAACUUUCGCCUCUUGAAAACUCCGAUGCAUGCUGGUGAGAGAAGGAGAAGGGCACAGGGCACCUGCUGUGAUGAAAACAGCUUUGACCUCGGGACACCCUGGAAGAGUCCUGAAGCCCCCAGGCCACACUUGGAAGAACGAAGCAUGUGGGUGUGAGUGGGCCGGGGCGGGGGUGGCAGCCAGCGCUGUUUGCGUUGGGCGUGUUUAUAGACUUGAUUUUUCUCCACACUUCAUUCCAAGAGAUAGACACUCAAACUAUGAAAAUUGUUUUUAUUUUAAAUCAAAGUACCAGGCAGAUACUUGCAAAACAACAUACAAAGCAAAACUCAAACAUGGCCCUUCCCUAGGGCGCCUCUGAGCAGGCACAGAGAAGUUCUCACCCUCUGCAAAAUCCAAUCCAAUCCUAUCUUCUCAGAAAACCAAACCAAAGGCAGCCAUGAAAACCCGUGUUCUGUACGUGGUUGAGAAGGUCCUCCUCUCUGAGUACUGGCUGGCCCCGAGGCCAGCAGAACUGGGAGGUCCAGGGAACCCUGCCCCUGAGGAGCCAGCAGGACCUGGAGGAGCCGGGGGCGGUGCUGACGACAACCUUCCCCACCCACUGCAGUGUGGUUCCCAAGAGGAUGAGGGCUUCUCCAGGGCCCUUCCCCAGGCUGGGGCUUGGAGCCCCUGCCAGAAGCAGCUGGGUUGGCGGUAGACGUCCCCAAGGGCCUUGGGAAGCACUGGGAAUGGGCUCCCAGCCCUGGUGGAAUGGGGGAUUGGGAAUUAAUUCUGAAGCUGGUUGUGGCUUAUUUUUGUAUGGCUCUGAAAUUAACUUCCUCUCCCAAUGCCUCAAUAGCUAAGGGGCAGGGGCAGAAAAGGUCCCAACCUUGUUCUUAAAAAGAAAGAAAAUGAACCCACAACCCACUGGAAGUUCUGUUGACGAGGGCUGUCAAGGCAGACGCACU